AUGUCUUUUUGCCUUUUCUAGGGCCACUUCCUGCGGCAUAUGGAGGUUCCCAGGCCAGGGGUCAAAUUGGAGCUGUAGCCGCCGGCCUACGCCAGAGCCACAGCAACGUGGGAUUCAAGCCGCGUCUGCAGCCUACACCACAGCUCACGGCAACGCCGGAUCGUUAACCCACUGAGCAAGGGCAGGGAUCAAACCAGCAACCUCACGGUUCCUAGUCAGAUUCGUUAACCACUGCGCCACGACGGGAACUCCAGUUAACAAUUUUUAAAGUAUGAGUUUCUGAGUAAAUAUAUUUGUCAGAUUCAUAGUGGAUUCAUGACAGAGUCUUGUAUGUUUGAAGAAAAAUAUAGGGAGACACAUUGCCCCAACAGAGAGUGGAGAAAGGGGAGAAGAAAUAAAUAAUAUUGGUCUAAAAGAUGGUGAAAUAAAGAUUUUUUAAACAAAAUUAAUUUUAAUUGCAAAAUUUAUUUAUAUCUUAAUAUAGGAAAUACAGUAACUUGGUUCUCAAUAUAUCUGUGAAUUAAAUCCCUACAUAUAAAAUCACUAGAUCAAAGGGUAUGUUUAUUUGCAAUGUUGCCAAAUUGCCCUCUAUAAAAAUUGUACCUACUUAUACCCCUACCAACAAUCUCUGAGAAAAACUGUGUUCCCACAUCUUCUAACACAAAUUAUCGAACUUUUUCAUAUUUGCUAAUCUGAAAGAUGAUAAAUGAAACCCCAGCAGUUCCCAUUGUGGUUUUCAGUGGGUUAAGGACACAGCAUUGUCUCUGUGAGGAUGCUGGUUCAACCCCUGGCCUUACUCAGUGGGUUAAGGAUCCAGCAUUGCAGCAAACAACAGCAUGGGUCGCAGAUGCGGCUCAGAUCCAGUGUUGUUGUGGCUGUGACGUAGGCCCCAGCUGCAGCUCCACUUUGAUCCCUGGCCCAGAAACUUUCAUAUGGUGCAGGUGCAACUGUAAAAAGAAAAAAAAAAAAUGAUACCCCAAUGAGUUCAAUGUGCACUACUCCGCCUUUACUACAGGUUUGCCCUUACUAGUGGGACUUUUCAUUUUCUAUAAAUUUUUACUUCCUGUAGAAUCCUUUUCUUUUCCACUUAAAGAAGACCCUUUAAAAUUACUUUUAGGUCUGCUUCAGUAUUGAUGAACUCUUUUAGUUUUCAUUUGUCUGUGGAGUCUUUUAUCUCUCCAUCAAUUCUGAAUGAUGAUCUUGCUAGGUAGAGUAUCCUAGGUUGUAGGUUUUCCCUUUUCAGCACUUUCAAUAUAUCAUGGCAUUCCCUUCUGGCCUGCAAAGUUGCUGCAGAAAAAUCUUCUGACAACCUUACAGGGAUUCCCUUGUUUGUAACGCUUUAUUUUCCAAUUGUUGUCUUUAGAAUUCUCUACCUUUAACUUUCACCAUUUUAAUUAUGAUAUUUAUAGGGACAAAGUAAAGGCACAAAGUAGGUUCUUGAAGAGUUAAUUCCACUAGGGGAUCAUAAGUUUUUAAAAAGUAUGGAAGACCUGAGAAAGUGUAUGAUCACUCGAAAAGCAGAUUUGCUUAACAACAAAACCAUGCCAUAAAAGCACAGCCAUGCCCCCAAACAAAAAAAAACAGUGGUAAAAUGAGACCCACAUCCUGCCCAGUAAGGUCAGUAAGUUAAUAAUUCUUAAGACAUACUCCUCAGCACACACUAAAAGCGAAAAUAUAGAAAAGGGUGACAUCAUCCUAAACCUAAAAUAAUUUACCAUAUUUUAGUACACGAUACUGCCUUUUUACCCAUUUCCACUGCACCAUGACAGUCCCAGUUUGAUCGUGAAGGGACAAGAAAACUCUCCCACCAGCCAUGAAGGAGGAGCUGAUGAUGUAAGUUUAACAUCUACUCAGGAAUGAGGAAGGAAGUGAUCUUCUUCCCCUCCCUACUUCUCCUUUGAUUAUAAAACUAGCCCAUUAAGUUCUUAGAGCAGCAUCCUUUGCCUGCCAGCUUGUAGCUCUCACACGCAUCCUAUAUUAAUAGCCUGUUGCUUUGCCUCUUGCUGAAUUCUUUAUGCUCUGAGACAGAAGAACCUAAGCUUCAUUAAUUCCUAAGAUGAGUUCUGUGUUUUCAGACUAGGUAAAUGGUUUUAAUUAAAGAGAGGGGUUCGAGCCCCCUCCUAAGUCAGGGACCACGGGUUCAAGUCCCAGUCUAAAGAAUGGCUAUGUUCAAGCCCUACUCAGGAAGUGCAGUUUUGAUAUGUCUUGAUGUGUCUAUCUCAUUUCUUUCACCUAUUUUAUUUUAUUUAUUUAUUUUUUUGUCCUUUUGCCUUUUCUAGAGCCACACCCGCGGCAUAUGGAGGUUCCCAGGCUAGGGUUCGAAUCGGAGCUGUAGCCACCAGCCUACGCCAGAGCCACAGCAAUGCAGGAUCCAAGCUGCGUCUGAGACCUACACUACAGCUCAGGCAACGCCGGAUCGUUAACCCACUGAGCAAGACCAGGGAUCGAACCCACAACCUCAUGGUUCCUAGUCGGAUUCGUUAACCACUGAGCCACGACGGGAACUCCAUUACCUAUUUUAUUGGUUCAUUGGAUUUUGUCUUAUUGAUAUGUGAGAACCCUCUACAUACUAGAUAAAUUAGUCCUAUUAAGUUAGUCCUUGUUGUACAAGUUGCAAAUGUUCCCCUGGUUUAGAGAUUAUUUCGUGAAUUGACUUAUAGUGAUCUCUGCAUGCAGAAAUUCUCUGUUUAUCUGGAGUUGAACUUGUCAUUUUUUUUCUUAUGGUUUAUUGCUUUUAUGUCAUACUUAGAAAACUUUCCUUACUCCAAUUUUAUAAAAAUAUUCUCCAAUGGCUUAUUGAAGUAUUGCUUUUAAGCUUUCAUUCUUCAUAUUUAAAUCUUUAAUUCAUUGUCAUUUAUUGUGGUGUCACAUAGAUUAUUUCUUCAUAGUUGAUCAAUGGUCCCUACAGACUUGAGAUGUCAACUUAAUCAUAUAUUUAAUCCUCAUAUGUGUCCCAGUCUAUUUCUUGCCUUCCAGUUGGUUUCAUUGAUUUAUCUCUUUUCAUAUUCCAAUACUAUGUUCUUUGUUUUAUGGUUUUGGAUUUUAAAUAUUUAAUAUUUUAAAUAUUUAAUAUAACAUCUUAAAAUAUUUUAAAUAUCCAGGCUAGCUUUCUCCCCUUGCAUUAGUCUUCUUUUCCAGAAUCUUGUAGUCAAUUUUUGAUUAUUUUAUUUUUUCAUUUGAAUGUUAGAUUCAGUUUGUCCAGCUCAAAAAAAAAAAAAAAAAAGGAAAAAAUCAGUAAUAUUAUUUUGGGGGUUAUGUUAAAUGCAUAGAUUAACCCAGCAAAAAUAUAUAUAACAUUUAAUUUUCCCAUGUAAAACAUGGUUCGCCUUUCUACUUGUUUACAUCUUUUUUUGAGACCUUAGGAAUGGAUAUACUUUGUUUUCAUAAAAGUUCACACAUUUCUUGUUUUGUUUAUUCUAAGGGUUUUUGUUGUUGUUGUUGUUGUUGUUAUUGUUUUUUACUAUUGCAAUUACAGGUACAAAGAAUUGCAAGAUAAGAUUCAAUGCUCAAAAACAAUUCUCAUGCCACGAGGAUUUCCAUACUUGAGGAGCUGAACUCCAACAACAGAACAUUCAGUUUACCAGAACCACUAAAAUAUGUGAUGCAUGCCAUUAAAAAAAAUAAUAAGUCUG
Molecule: long non-coding RNA, 3632 nt
Filed under: Sus scrofa (pig)
Lineage: Eukaryota; Metazoa; Chordata; Mammalia; Artiodactyla; Suidae
Description: lncRNA (ENSSSCG00055014469.1)
Source: RNAcentral